Molecule: long non-coding RNA, 852 nt
Organism: Pseudopipra pipra
Lineage: Eukaryota; Metazoa; Chordata; Aves; Passeriformes; Pipridae
Exons: 4
Source: RefSeq, a predicted model, not a curated record
UGUUCUCCUGGGAAUAUUCAGGUGACAGCCUGUUGCUAUGGUAACAGUGGGUGCCUGGAAUGUUUGGUUGACAGUCCACUGCUGACCAGUUGUGCUGGGCACUCCCCAGAGCAGCCUCGUGGCUGAAGCCCUGGGGAGGCUCUCCAGGCACAAAAUGGUCUUGGUGGGAUCUCCUGCCCUGGAGAACCCCUUCUGGAGUCAGAGCUGUGGUGGUGGCUUUAGGACAAGGUCUUUUUAUACCAGGAAGGAGACAGAGAGGAGAAAGUAGAUAGUUUCUGGUUACAUAAUGAAAGUAAUGGGAGUUCAACAAAGGAAUUUCAGAGACCAGGAUCCAGAGCAAAGUUUAACAGGGAAGAUCCAAACAGUGCCAAGUCCAGAAUGAUCCCUCUUUGCACUGGGUGCUUUCUGAUCCUACUGGGAAAAUACUUUAAAAAUUAGCACAAGAAGCAAGUGGAUCCUUGCAGAGAAAUACAGCAGAGACUUCAUAGAUUUGAGUUUCCUUCCUGUUGGUAGAAUGUGGAUAACAUGUAGAGAAGUGACUCAGAUUCAUCACAGGAAAAUAUCACGUGUGAUAAGUCUGUACUGCUUAAAUGUUUUUAAAGCAACGGUUUCCUCAGAGUCACUGUUGAACUGUGAAAAAUGUGUUGAAUUUGGGGCAUGUAAAAGUAAUAGAUGAGAGAGGAAUCAUUAAAAUAAAUACAUGAUGUGUGUGCUUUUCAUUCCUACACAGUGAUCAUCUGUAUUAUUAUGUAUUAAUACAAAUAAUUAACUAUACAUAUAAUUAAAAUCAUUCAGCUACAGCUAUUUUCUCAGUCAGUAGAGACCUGUUCCUACUUCAUUUCUUGUUGUAUG